AACACGGACCAAGGAGUUUAUCGUGUGCGCAAGUCAUUGGGUGUUGAAAACUCAAAGGCGCAAUGAAAGUAAAGAAUCCGCAAGGAUACGACGUGUGAUCUGAGCAAUCACGAUUGCCUGGAGCAACAUGGCCCCAUUCUGGUCGCUUGCGACGGGGUGGAGGAAGAGCGUACGCGGUGAGACCCGAAAGAUGGUGAACUAUUCCUGAGCAGGAUGAAGCCAGAGGAAACUCUGGUGGAAGUCCGAAGCGAUUCUGACGUGCAAAUCGAUCGUCUGACUUGGGUAUAGGGGCGAAAGACUAAUCGAACCAUCUAGUA
This 317-nucleotide ribosomal RNA is filed under the name Pratylenchus penetrans. RNAcentral's name for it is "partial large subunit ribosomal RNA". It matches the Rfam family "Eukaryotic large subunit ribosomal RNA", at positions 658 to 949 of the family's 3401-position model. The record is from RNAcentral. Lineage: Eukaryota; Metazoa; Nematoda; Chromadorea; Rhabditida; Pratylenchidae.